This 234-nucleotide long non-coding RNA is filed under the name Elaeis guineensis (African oil palm). Its description in RNAcentral is "long non-coding RNA (EGUI_LNC080293)". Lineage: Eukaryota; Viridiplantae; Streptophyta; Magnoliopsida; Arecales; Arecaceae. The record is from RNAcentral.
UAUACCCAACACCAGUCUCCCUACUUCCGAGUUCGAGUUUCGAAUGAAGGAAGUAUAGAGAAAUUUUUACAGCCGAAGUUGCCCCCUUGAAUCCUGCGCGCGACCGCCUUCAGAUAUCUUGGCAUUUAAUGCGUGCAUGCCGGAGUCUUUUCAAAUCGAGGUGCUCCGAAGAGACUUUUCAGAAUUCCCACUGGAGCACAGUCCCAAGUGCCAUGCAAUAAUGGCCCUGUCAGC